Molecule: ribosomal RNA, 495 nt
Filed under: uncultured bacterium
Lineage: Bacteria
Description: bacterial SSU rRNA
Rfam family: Bacterial small subunit ribosomal RNA
Source: RNAcentral
AUUGAACGCUGGCGGCAUGCUUCAUCCAUGCAAGUCGAACGGUAGCAGCAAAAUGCUUGCAUUUUGGCUGACGAGUGGCGAACGGGUGCGUAACGCGUAGGAAUCUGCCCUAAAGCGGGGGAUAACUCGGGGAAACUCGAGCUAAUACCGCAUAUACCCCACGGGGAAAAGUGGACCUCUACUUGUAAGUUCACGCUUUAGGAUGAGCCUGCGUCUGAUUAGCUUGUUGGUAGGGUAAAGGCCUACCAAGGCGACGAUCGGUAGCUGGUCUGAGAGGACGAUCAGCCACACUGGGACUGAGACACGGCCCAGACUUCUACGGAAGGCAGCAGGAGGGAAUAUUGGACAAUGGGGGCAAACCCUGAUCCAGCAAUGCCGCGUGUGUGAAGAAGGCCUGCGGGUUGUAAAGCACUUUCGGUAGGGAAGAGAGUUUUAUGGGGUAAUAUCCUGUAAGGCAAGACGUUACCUACAGAAGAAGCACCGGCUAACUCUGUG